Molecule: long non-coding RNA, 1024 nt
Filed under: Olea europaea subsp. europaea
Lineage: Eukaryota; Viridiplantae; Streptophyta; Magnoliopsida; Lamiales; Oleaceae
Source: RNAcentral
AGGGGCGGCCGACCUUGGGAGAAAGUCUCAGACGAUCAACGAGACUUCUCAGCCUUUAGAUGAGCCUCAUGAUGUGGUUCCAACUCCUAGGCCAGGAGCUCCUAGUCGGGCGCGAUGUGAGCGCGUGGACUCGCUUCCUAGCUUUGGGUUUCCUCCCACCCGGGGCUAUAUGAGAUGGGGGUGCUUAAGUCGUUGGUGACCCCCGCUCGAUCCAGAGCGAUUGCAGGGCGCAGUGCAGAUGACAUAGAAAGGGCUACGGCUGUUUACCUUCAGAGGGUAUGUUUCUCAUUUCGAGAUUUCUUUCAUGUUGGAUCUCGCCUUUUAAGUUAGACUUUAACUCGUGGUUUCACUCUUUUUCCCCUUAUUUUUUUUUAGGUGGUGGCCCUCCAGACCGGACUCGCUGAGUCGAAUCGCCGCCUGGUCUCAGAGCUGAAAACUCUUACUAAAGAAAAGAAAAAGGAGGCUCAUCACCACAAGAAGAAAAUAUCCUCCUUAAGGAAAUCUCUGGAGAUGUCGGACGCUCGACCUCGUGAGCAAGAGAUGGAGAUCGACAACCUACGUUCUAUUUUGGCUCGUGCUCCUGAAGAGGCGGUUGAGAGGUAUAAGGCCUCAGAUGAGUACGCUGGAGAUCUCAAGGCGGCUGUGGAUCAGUAUAAGACAUCGUCCGAUUAUGCUAAGGCUUUGAACUCAUACGGGGGGAAGGCGAUGUCAGCAUCAAUUAAGCUCUCCAAGGAGUGGAUUAUGGCUGAACAUCCUUCUAUAGACCCCUCCGGCUUGGAUAGAUUUCUCGCACAGCGCAAGGGGAAGGAGAGCAUAGCUCAGUCAUCCAGAUCACUCGAUCGUUCAUCACAAGGUGGUAGUGGGCAUGUCUCCCCUUCGAGCUGAAGCAUUUCUUAAUUGUUGUUUUCCUUGCUAGUUUUUCCUUUUUAGUGUUUACUUUUGCUUAGCCUUGUUAUCUCCUACUUGCUCGGGAUGUGGGCAAGAAUUCUUCGAAUGUAUAAACACAUCUUUCAUUCGAUAUUAU